AUUACGAGCAAUGCUUAAAACCCAAAGGAUUUGACGGUGUCCCACCCCACUAGAGGAGCCUGUUCUUUAAUCGAUGAUCCCCGCUUCACCUAACCACUCCUCGCCUAUCAGUCUGUAUACCUCCGUCGAAAGCUUACCAUGUGAACGCCCACAGUAGGCCCAAUGAUUUACCAUCAGUACGUCAGGUCAAGGUGCAGCUUAAGGAGUGGCAAGCAAUGGGCUACAAUUUCUAAUCUAGAACAAACGAAAGACUAUGUGAAACCCUAGUCAUGAAGGUGGAUUUAGUAGUAAAAAGAAAGCAGAGUGUUCUUUUUAACUCGGCUCUGGGACGCGUACACACCGCCCGUCACCCUCUUCGAUAGUACCACAUCCGUUCAUAACCCCAUAUUACAUUUUAGAAGAGGCAAGUCGUAACAUGGUAAGUGUACUGGAAAGUGCACUUGGUACACUA
RNAcentral lists this ribosomal RNA (451 nucleotides) under Rana japonica (Japanese frog). Its description in RNAcentral is "partial 12S ribosomal RNA". It matches the Rfam family "Bacterial small subunit ribosomal RNA", at positions 879 to 1533 of the family's 1533-position model. The record is from RNAcentral. Lineage: Eukaryota; Metazoa; Chordata; Amphibia; Anura; Ranidae.